Molecule: ribosomal RNA, 253 nt
Filed under: uncultured bacterium
Lineage: Bacteria
Description: partial 16S ribosomal RNA
Rfam family: Bacterial small subunit ribosomal RNA
Source: RNAcentral
UACGGAGGGUGCGAGCGUUAAUCGGAAUUACUGGGCGUAAAGCGCGCGCAGGCGGCUUUUCAAGUCGAUUGUGAAAUCCCCGGGCUUAACCUGGGAACUGCAGUGGAGACUGCCUAGCUAGAGUAUGGGAGAGGGGAGUGGAAUUUCAGGUGUAGCGGUGAAAUGCGUAGAUAUCUGAAGGAACAUCAGUGGCGAAGGCGGCUUCCUGGACCAAUACUGACGCUCAUGUGCGAAAGCGUGGGGAGCAAACAGG